RNAcentral lists this long non-coding RNA (2003 nucleotides) under Gallus gallus (chicken). RNAcentral's name for it is "lncRNA (ENSGALG00010006695.1)". The record is from RNAcentral. Lineage: Eukaryota; Metazoa; Chordata; Aves; Galliformes; Phasianidae.
CUUCUCUUUCCUUUACGGCCGCAUCCCGCCUCCGUGCUGCCCGCGCUGCUCCUUGGCAGGAAGCUCCCGGCGUCUCCUUGGGGGUGGAGUAGGCACGGGGGUGGACGGAUGAGCGUUAAUCCCUGGAAAACCGGGGUAGGGGUUCCAAUGAAACCGAAGUUCUUCGGAAAUCUUUUAGUCGUAAUUCCCAGAGCUUUGCCUUCAGGGCUGGGGGUAGAGCGAGGCACAUCGGGUCAAAACGCCUCUGGAGUGAGAUUUAAAGUUCAGAAACGGCAUUCGUGUGGCUUCCCUGGCUGAGCGGUGUUACCCAAAAGCUUUGAACUCGCUGCUCAAUUUCAGCUGGACGUGAACAGGAAGACCAAGAUAUCCCAAAGGAAGCUGUGAUGAGAAGAAUAUUCUUGCUGGGGAAGAGACCUGGAGCAGAUCUCCUUCUGCGUGCAGCUGGCAUCUUUGGGUCACCUCUGCUGGCCUGUUUAGCUCUGCAGUCUGUGGAACAAGCUGCCUGUGAUUUGUGAAAAGCUUUUCUCUCAUUCCUUCAUGCACCAUUUUGAAGUCAAAUGGACUUUAAAUGGAGAGAAUGGAUUGGCAAAAGGAGAGAGAUUUGAGUAAGGUUGAGGUAAAUGAAAGCAAAACUGAAGGUCAGAGCUAAUACACGGAUUUUUCUUGCAUAUUUUACUCAGGAGAGGUUGCUUAUUCCCCUCUGUACUCUGCGAAGAACUCAUCCUAAUGUUUAAUGCUUCAAAAUGAAGCCAUCAUUGUUGCAUUCAGCCUGCAGAAAUGCUGGUUUUUCUCAUGCCUGUGAGCUGGCUGCUGCAGCUCAUGAGAUUAUCUAUCCCAUCUCUUCGCACCGGGACUGUUGAAAUUCAGAGUUGUCCUGGUUAAGGACACCUGGUUAUGGUGAGGUACUCCAAAGCCUUACAUCAUGUUAAUAAAAAUCAGCAGACACUAGGAGAGAGCAUGAGGGAGAGAAAUUGCUUCUGGACAAAUAUUCUGUGAAUGCUUAAGCUGAAGCUACUCCUAAUGCUGCUCUGCCCUGUUUUCUGCAUCACUCUAGAGCUUCUGUCCAUGACCUUUCUCUAAGCCUUUAGUGUCUUGUUUAUGGGGUUGAAAAAGCACUGCGCAUCCAUCCAAGGGUUUUUUGUUGUUUAUAUGCUGCUGACUUCUUAGUGAAACAAGAUCUCUUACUGAGCAUUAGGAAGCUGUACAGGGAAUUAACUUGAAAGUUAGUGAUGUUUUCUAAACUCUAAAUAGUUGACCAUGGGGCCAGGUUGAGGGGAUAGAAACCCAAGUCAAUACUGGUGCUGUGGGGGAAUUGUCAUAUUAAAGACAUCCUGCCUGCCUGCGGAAUGGUUUGAUGUAUUUGAGAUGUGUAGGUGAAUAAGCUGGGAGGGGACUGUGCCCAGGUGGCCCUUGGACAUUUGUUUGGGAAGGGGCUCUUGGCUUCAGUGUGAGCAAGCUCAAGGUUGGCCACGGCUUUGACACUUUGAAAGGAAAUUCUCAGAAUAUAAUAUUUUAUGGAUGAUUUCUGCAGAUUUCUUGCUUGUUUUGGAUUCUCUGUAAUUGAACAAAAAUUAUAGGCUCACAAAAAACAAAUGGAAGAGCACAAAAAUGGCUGCUUAAUACCAGGGCUUGUGUCCAAAGCAUAUGCUAGAAAAUAACAGGUGUUAACAGCAGAAGAAAUAAUGCACUCCUCAGACAGCUCUUAAUAAAUGUAGCAAACAAAAGUUCAUUAAAUAUAAAAUACGAAGCGUUCAGUAUGUUUUGAGGCACCAGUGUCUUCUGUACAAGACAGUUUUUGUUUGUGGAAGCAUUGAUUUUUUUAUUUUUUUUUAUUUUCCCCCCACUGUAUGCAGUCUGGAAUGCAACAGAAUUUGCAGCAGAAGAUCUGGAAAUAAGUAUCUCUGUAAUAACAACUUGAUGCUGCUGUUGUUGAAUUAGGUCUGAAAGACCGAUGUGUCAUAACCAAUGGGUCCCAAGAUGUGUGGAGGUCAGACUCUGAGAGU